UACGUAGGGGGCAAGCGUUAUCCGGAUUUACUGGGUGUAAAGGGAGCGUAGACGGCGCUGCAAGUCCGGAGUGAAAGCCCAUGGCUUAACCAUGGUACUGCUCUGGAAACUGUUGAUCUUGAGUACUGGAGAGGCAGACGGAAUUCCUAGUGUAGCGGUGAAAUGCGUAGAUAUUAGGAGGAACACCAGUGGCGAAGGCGGUCUGCUGGACAGCAACUGACGGUGAGGCGCGAAAGCGUGGGGAGCAAACAGG
RNAcentral lists this ribosomal RNA (253 nucleotides) under uncultured Eubacteriales bacterium. Its description in RNAcentral is "uncultured Clostridiales bacterium partial 16S ribosomal RNA". It matches the Rfam family "Bacterial small subunit ribosomal RNA", at positions 524 to 776 of the family's 1533-position model. Lineage: Bacteria; Bacillati; Bacillota; Clostridia; Eubacteriales. The record is from RNAcentral.